UUGAACAGAGUAGGGGAAUAUUUCUGCUAAUCAAAGGCAUGGUGCAGAGGGCCGAGACUCAGGGCUCCGAUCGCGAUGGAACAACACCUCGGGGACAUCUGAGAGGGAGCAGCGGGUAGGGUCAGGGCCCUGCUCAGAUGCAGGUGACCUGGCAGGUCCUCCCAGCCCACUGGACAGAGCAGCAAACUGAAGACAGGUAACGAAGUGACACACAGAAGGCCACGAGCUGAGGGCAGGCCACCUCCCCCGGCUGCCUGCUCAGCUGUCACCAGCCCUAGGUCAGAAGACCACUGGACCAAGGUGACGGAGACAGCCUGGGCUGAAAGGCUCUGAGGAGGCCCAGCACGCAGCCUGGCAGCCUCCGGCGAAUCUCUCAGCCCAGGGUGGGCACCAACUACCUCGCAGUCAGAGGAUGGCGUGGAGCCAGGCAUUGGUCUGUCCUCUCCCGUCAAUGCCCUGUGCCCCAACCUCCUCUAUUCCUUGGGCAUCCUCACCCCAUACUGGGGACAGUUCCCACGGCCUAUGCACUGUACUGUGCCCCCAGCCCUCUUCCUAUUUUGAGACAGGGACUCGCCAAGUCCUCCAGGCUCUGGACCCUCCUGCCUCAGCCUCCUGAGUGUUGGGAUCACAGGCAUGCGCCACCGCACCAGGCUUGCUCUGCUCCUGACAAAAGACCCGAGUGGGGCGACAGGUGCGAGUGGGAGGAUCACUGUGCACUUCUCCCCGCCCUUUCUGCUGUGAUCCUAGUGCACUGUUACAGUUAUGACAAAUAAACACAAUUUAAAUUCAAAGCCAUGAGCUCUUCCCCCUAGAACGUGGGUCUUCCUGGAGCAGCGGCGCCCCACCUGGCAGUGCAGGUGCAGCCCACCUGAUCCUGCGGAAGAUGCUGUCCAGGUCCCGCUUCAUCUCCACCAGCGUCCGCGUGUGGUGCACGAAGCGCUCGCUCAUCUGCUGCAGGCGGGCGCUGGACAGGUUGUUGAAGUUCAGCAGCAUUUCGUUGGUCUUUUCAAAGCGGUCCAGCCUGGCAGCAGAGGCGGAGAUGCAGGCAGGCGCAAGGACCCAAGUUCGAUAUCUGGUACCAGAAAAAAAAAAAGAAGAAGAAGAAGAAGAUCCUGAGUUCCAUCCUUGUGAGGGAAAAUUAGCGACUUCUAGUUCUAGCUCGAAAUACAAAAUAAAAAAUCGCUGGGGACGUGGCUCAGAGCAAAGGACCUGGGCUUAAUCCCCACCACUGUAGAGAAAAAAUGUACCCUUUCUUCUUUAAGGCAGGGUGUCAUGGUUUGUGUCCAGAUGUCCCCUCAAAGUCUUUGGAAUCAUAGGUGGCCCUUUCAGAGGUGGCUGAAUCUAGAGCGUGAUUACUAAAACAGUACUCUGGCUUGGUACUGCCCUAAUCCUGGUAGUAUGGAUAAGAUAAAAGAACGCAGAAAGACACUAUUAAG
Long non-coding RNA from Fukomys damarensis (Damara mole-rat), 1436 nucleotides. RefSeq lists it as uncharacterized. The record is from RefSeq and is a predicted model, not a curated record. NCBI's taxonomy places the organism in Eukaryota, Metazoa, Chordata, Mammalia, Rodentia, Bathyergidae. The transcript has 4 exons.